AAGUGUGAUAAGGGGAUCCYAAGUGCUCAUGCUUUGCAUGGGCUUUUGCCAAGAGUAAAUAUCUUGGAGAAUAAGUGGUGGGAAAGACUGGUGCCAGCCGCCGCGGUAACACCAGCGCCACGAGUGGCAAYCRUUUUUAUUGGGCCUAAAGCGUCCGUAGCCGGUUUAAUAAAUCUUUUGUGAAAUCGUUGGGCUUAACUUAACGGYGUGCAGGAGACACUGUUAAACUUGGAACCGGGAGGAGUCAGAGGUAUUCUGGGGGGAGCGGUAAAAUGCUAUAAUCCCUGGAGGACCACCUGUGGCGAAGGCGUCUAACUAGAACGGAUUUGACGGUGAGGGACGAAAGCUAGGGGAGCAAACCGGAUUAGAUACCCGAGUAGYCCUGGCCGUAAACUCUGCGAGCUAGGUGUUGCAUAUUCUUCGUGAUUGUGCAGUGUCRAAGCGAAGGUGUUAAGCUCGCCGCCUGGAAAGUACGGUCGCAAGACUGAAACUUAAAGGAAUUGGCGG
This 507-nucleotide ribosomal RNA is filed under the name uncultured archaeon. RNAcentral's name for it is "bacterial SSU rRNA". It matches the Rfam family "Archaeal small subunit ribosomal RNA", at positions 363 to 871 of the family's 1478-position model. The record is from RNAcentral.